Molecule: ribosomal RNA, 489 nt
Filed under: uncultured bacterium
Lineage: Bacteria
Description: bacterial SSU rRNA
Rfam family: Bacterial small subunit ribosomal RNA
Source: RNAcentral
UAGUCCAUGCCGUAAACGAUGAGAACUAGAUGUCCGGGGAACUAACCCCCUGGGUGUCGCAGCAAACGCAUUAAGUUCUCCGCCUGGGGAGUACGAUCGCAAGGUUGAAACUCAAAGGAAUUGACGGGGGCCCGCACAAGCGGUGGAGCAUGUGGAUUAAUUCGAUGCAACGCGAAGAACCUUACCUGGGCUUGAACCGUAGUUGCCCGAUGUAGAGAUGCAUUUUUUCAGUUUACUGAACAACUAUAGAGGUGCUGCAUGGCUGUCGUCAGCUCGUGUCGUGAGAUGUUGGGUUAAGUCCCGCAACGAGCGCAACCCUUAUUUCUAGUUGCCAGCGCGUAAUGGCGGGGACUCUAGAGAGACUGCCUGUGUUAAACAGGAGGAAGGUGGGGAUGACGUCAAGUCCUCAUGGCCCUUAUGUCCAGGGCUUCACACGUGCUACAAUGGUUGGGACAAAGCGCAGCUACACAGCGAUGUGAUGCGAAUCGA